GGGCCCGUAGCUCAGCGGUUAGAGCAGUGGACUCAUAAUCCAUUGGUCCCAGGUUCAAAUCCUGGCGGGCCCACCA
This 76-nucleotide transfer RNA is filed under the name Acidobacteria bacterium 13_1_40CM_4_58_4. RNAcentral describes it as "tRNA-Met". It matches the Rfam family "tRNA". From Rfam's summary of the family: Transfer RNA (tRNA) molecules are approximately 80 nucleotides in length. Their secondary structure includes four short double-helical elements and three loops (D, anti-codon, and T loops). RNAcentral also lists the same sequence under 6 other names. The record is from RNAcentral. Lineage: Bacteria; Pseudomonadati; Acidobacteriota.